Molecule: ribosomal RNA, 497 nt
Filed under: uncultured bacterium
Lineage: Bacteria
Description: partial 16S ribosomal RNA
Rfam family: Bacterial small subunit ribosomal RNA
Source: RNAcentral
GAUGAACGCUGGCGGCGUGCCUAAUACAUGCAAGUCGAGCGAACAGACGAGGAGCUUGCUCCUCUGACGUUAGCGGCGGACGGGUGAGUAACACGUGGGUAACCUACCUAUAAGACUGGGAUAAAUUCGGGAAACCGGAGCUAAUACCGGAUAAUAUAUUGAACCGCAUGGUUCAAUAGUGAAAGACGGUUUUGCUGUCACUUAUAGAUGGAUCCGCGCCGCAUUAGCUAGUUGGUAAGGUAACGGCUUACCAAGGCAACGAUGCGUAGCCGACCUGAGAGGGUGAUCGGCCACACUGGAACUGAGACACAGUCCAGACUCCUACGGGAGGCAGCAGUAGGGAAUCUUCCGCAAUGGGCGAAAGCCUGACGGAGCAACGCCGCGUGAGUGAUGAAGGUCUUCGGAUCGUAAAACUCUGUUAUUAGGGAAGAACAAAUGUGUAAGUAACUAUGCACGUCUUGACGGUACCUAAUCAGAAAGCCACGGCUAACUACGUG